Clupea harengus (Atlantic herring) is the source of this 350-nucleotide long non-coding RNA. RefSeq lists it as uncharacterized. NCBI's taxonomy places the organism in Eukaryota, Metazoa, Chordata, Actinopteri, Clupeiformes, Clupeidae. The record is from RefSeq and is a predicted model, not a curated record. The transcript has 3 exons.
GCUAAAGCUCUCUCUUCUUCUCUGAAAACUCCUGAGAUUUGUCCCAUAUAACCUUGAUGAUGACAUUUCCUUCCUUUGUAGAUAUAACCACACUCUAGCUGCAGUUGGUGAGCAGAUUUUCUUGUACGGUGGAUGUGGGGAGGAUGAAUGCUAUUACAAAGACAUCUAUGUUCUCAGCACAGGCUCGCUGGAGUGGCAUCAGUGGGAGGUGAGAGGGGACUCUCCAGUGUCCCACGCUGGCCAGACCCUCACCGCCCACCGAGAUAAGGAUAUCUAUUUGUUUGGUGGUAAGAUCGUGAGCCCAGAUGGAGCAGUUACCACAUCAAAUGAACUCUACAAAUUAAGCAUAG